GGAAGUAACAGUCGUAACAAGGUCUCCGUAGGUGAACCUGCGGAGGGAUCAUUACAGAGUUCAUGCCCUACCGGGUAGAUCUCCCACCCUAUGUUAUUAUUACUUUGUUGCUUUGGCGGGCCGUUAGGCUCCGGCCCGACUACCGGCCCCGGCUGGUAAGCGCCCGCCAGAGGACCCAAAACCCUGAAUAUUAGUGUCGUCUGAGUACUAUAUAAUAGUUAAAACUUUCAACAACGGAUCUCUUGGUUCUG
RNAcentral lists this unclassified non-coding RNA (251 nucleotides) under plant metagenome. Its description in RNAcentral is "partial contains small subunit ribosomal RNA, internal transcribed spacer 1, and 5.8S ribosomal RNA". The stretch from base 1 to 54 matches the Rfam family "Eukaryotic small subunit ribosomal RNA", at positions 1778 to 1831 of the family's 1831-position model. The record is from RNAcentral.